Molecule: ribosomal RNA, 460 nt
Filed under: uncultured bacterium
Lineage: Bacteria
Description: partial 16S ribosomal RNA
Rfam family: Bacterial small subunit ribosomal RNA
Source: RNAcentral
CCUACGGGAGGCUGCAGUGAGGAAUAUUGGUCAAUGGACGAGAGUCUGAACCAGCCAAGUAGCGUGAAGGAUGACUGCCCUAUGGGUUGUAAACUUCUUUUAUAUGGGAAUAAAACGUUCCACGUGUGGGAUUUUGUAUGUACCAUAUGAAUAAGGAUCGGCUAACUCCGUGCCAGCAGCCGCGGUAAUACGGAGGAUCCGAGCGUUAUCCGGAUUUAUUGGGGUUAAAGGGAGCGUAGGUGGAUUGGUAAGUCAGUUGUGAAAGUUUGCGGCUCAACCGUAAAAUUGCAGUUGAAACUGGCAGUCUUGAGUACAGUAGAGGUGGGCGGAAUUCGUGGUGUAGCGGUGAAAUGCUUAGAUAUCACGAAGAACACCGAUUGCGAAGGCAGUUCACUGGACUGCAACUGACACUGAGGCUCGAAAGUGUGGGUAUCAAACAGGAUUAGAUACCCGUGUAGUC